RNAcentral lists this ribosomal RNA (395 nucleotides) under uncultured bacterium. RNAcentral describes it as "partial 16S ribosomal RNA". It matches the Rfam family "Bacterial small subunit ribosomal RNA", at positions 338 to 730 of the family's 1533-position model. The record is from RNAcentral.
CCUACGGGUGGCAGCAGUGAGGAAUAUUGGUCAAUGGGCGUAAGCCUGAACCAGCCAAGUCGCGUGAGGGAUGAAGGUUCUAUGGAUCGUAAACCUCUUUUAUAAGGGAAUAAAGUGUGGGACGUGUCCUGUUUUGUAUGUACCUUAUGAAUAAGGAUCGGCUAACUCCGUGCCAGCAGCCGCGGUAAUACGGAGGAUCCGAGCGUUAUCCGGAUUUAUUGGGUUUAAAGGGUGGGGAGGCGGCCUUUUAAGGCAGCGGUGAAAGGCUGGGGCUCAACCAUAGAAUUGCCGUUGAAACUGGGGGGCUUGAGUAUGUGAGAGGCAGGCGGAAUGCGUGGUGUAGCGGUGAAAUGCUUAGAUAUCGCGCAGAACCCCGAUUGCGAAGGCAGCGUGCC